RNAcentral lists this ribosomal RNA (245 nucleotides) under uncultured Lachnospiraceae bacterium. RNAcentral describes it as "partial 16S ribosomal RNA". It matches the Rfam family "Bacterial small subunit ribosomal RNA", at positions 524 to 767 of the family's 1533-position model. Lineage: Bacteria; Bacillati; Bacillota; Clostridia; Lachnospirales; Lachnospiraceae. The record is from RNAcentral.
UACGUAGGGGGCAAGCGUUAUCCGGAUUUACUGGGUGUAAAGGGAGCGCAGACGGCGCGCCAAGUCUGAUGUGAAAGGCGAGGGCUUAACCCUGGGACUGCAUUGGAAACUGGCGGAGCUGGAGUGCCGGAGAGGCAGGCGGAAUUCCUAGUGUAGCGGUGAAAUGCGUAGAUAUUAGGAGGAACACCAGUGGCGAAGGCGGCCUGCUGGACGGUAACUGACGUUGAGGCUCGAAAGCGUGGGGA